AGCUCCAAUAGCGUAUACUAAUGUUGUUGCAGUUAAAAAGCUCGUAGUCGGAUUUCAGUUUAUUUGCGUUUAACCUAUCCUGGUUUUGAUGUGAAUUUACUUUAUGCAAGAAACUUUCAUAUUAUUUAUUUGAUAUGUUUGGGGACUUGCUCAUUUACUUUGAGAAAAUUAGAGUGUUCAAAGCAGGUAUUUGCCUGGAUAUUACUCUUGGAAUAAUAAUAUAGGACUUCAGUUCUAGUUUGUUGGUGAUCUGGAACCGGAGUAAUGAUUGAUAGGGACAGUUGGGGUCAUUCAUACUGCAAAGCGAGAGGUGGAAUUCUUGGACCUUUGUAUGAUGAACAACUGCGAAAGCAUUUGACUAGGAUGUUCCCG
RNAcentral lists this ribosomal RNA (372 nucleotides) under uncultured eukaryote. RNAcentral's name for it is "SSU rRNA". It matches the Rfam family "Eukaryotic small subunit ribosomal RNA", at positions 587 to 972 of the family's 1831-position model. The record is from RNAcentral.